Molecule: ribosomal RNA, 497 nt
Filed under: uncultured bacterium
Lineage: Bacteria
Description: partial 16S ribosomal RNA
Rfam family: Bacterial small subunit ribosomal RNA
Source: RNAcentral
GAUGAACGCUGGCGGCGUGCCUAAUACAUGCAAGUCGAGCGAACAGACGAGGAGCUUGCUCCUCUGACGUUAGCGGCGGACGGGUGAGUAACACGUGGAUAACCUACCUAUAAGACUGGGAUAACUUCGGGAAACCGGAGCUAAUACCGGAUAAUAUAUUGAACCGCAUGGUUCAAUAGUGAAAGACGGUUUUGCUGUCACUUAUAGAUGGAUCCGCGUCGCAUUAGCUAGUUGGUAAGGUAACGGCUUACCAAGGCAACGAUUCGUAGCCGACCUGAGAGGGUGAUAGGCCACACUGGAACUGAGACACGGUCCAGACUCCUACGAGAGGCAGCAGGAGGGAAUCUUCCGCAAUGGGCGAAAGCCUGACGGAGCAACGCCGCGUGAGUGAUGAAGGUCUUCGGAUCGUAAAACUCUGUUAUUAGGGAAGAACAAAUGUGUAAGUAACUAUGCACGUCUUGACGGUACCUAAUCAGAAAGCCACGGCUAACUACGUG